This 1951-nucleotide ribosomal RNA is filed under the name human gut metagenome. Its description in RNAcentral is "bacterial LSU rRNA". It matches the Rfam family "Bacterial large subunit ribosomal RNA", at positions 1 to 1977 of the family's 2925-position model. The record is from RNAcentral.
UUAAGCGACUAAGCGUACACGGUGGAUGCCCUGGCAGUCAGAGGCGAUGAAGGACGUGCUAAUCUGCGAAAAGCGUCGGUAAGGUGAUAUGAACCGUUAUAACCGGCGAUGUCCGAAUGGGGAAACCCAGUGCAAUUCGUUGCACUAUCGUUAACUGAAUACAUAGGUUAACGAGGCGAACCGGGGGAACUGAAACAUCUAAGUACCCCGAGGAAAAGAAAUCAACCGAGAUUCCCCCAGUAGCGGCGAGCGAACGGGGAGCAGCCCGGAGUCUGAAUCAGCUUGUGUGUUAGUGGAAGCGUCUGGAAAGUCGCAGGGUACAGGGUGAUACUCCCGUACACUAAAACACACAGGUUGUGAACUCGAAGAGUAGGGCGGGACACGUGGUAUCCUGUCUGAAUAUGGGGGGACCAUCCUCCAAGGCUAAAUACUCCUGACUGACCGAUAGUGAACCAGUACCGUGAGGGAAAGGCGAAAAGAACCCCGGCGAGGGGAGUGAAAAAGAACCUGAAACCGUGUACGUACAAGCAGUAGGAGCCCACUAGUUGGGUGACUGCGUACCUUUUGUAUAAUGGGUCAGCGACUUAUAUUCUGUAGCAAGGUUAACCGUAUAGGGGAGCCGCAGGGAAACCGAGUCUUAACUGGGCGUUAAGUUGCAGGGUAUAGACCCGAAACCCGGUGAUCUAGCCAUGGGCAGGUUGAAGGUUGGGUAACACUAACUGGAGGACCGAACCGACUAAUGUUGAAAAAUUAGCGGAUGACUUGUGGCUGGGGGUGAAAGGCCAAUCAAACCGGGAGAUAGCUGGUUCUCCCCGAAAGCUAUUUAGGUAGCGCCUCGUGAACUCAUCUUCGGGGGUAGAGCACUGUUUCGGCUAGGGGGUCAUCCCGACUUACCAACCCGAUGCAAACUACGAAUACCGAAGAAUGUUAUCACGGGAGACACACGGCGGGUGCUAACGUCCGUCGUGAAGAGGGAAACAACCCAGACCGCCAGCUAAGGUCCCAAAGUCAUGGUUAAGUGGGAAACGAUGUGGGAAGGCCCAGACAGCCAGGAUGUUGGCUUAGAAGCAGCCAUCAUUUAAAGAAAGCGUAAUAGCUCACUGGUCGAGUCGGCCUGCGCGGAAGAUGUAACGGGGCUAAACCAUGCACCGAAGCUGCGGCAGCGACACUAUGUGUUGUUGGGUAGGGGAGCGUUCUGUAAGCCGUUGAAGGUGGCCUGUGAGGGUUGCUGGAGGUAUCAGAAGUGCGAAUGCUGACAUAAGUAACGAUAAUGCGGGUGAAAAACCCGCACGCCGGAAGACCAAGGGUUCCUGUCCAACGUUAAUCGGGGCAGGGUGAGUCGACCCCUAAGGCGAGGCCGAAAGGCGUAGUCGAUGGGAAACAGGUUAAUAUUCCUGUACUUGGUGUUACUGCGAAGGGGGGACGGAGAAGGCUAUGUUGGCCGGGCGACGGUUGUCCCGGUUUAAGCAUGUAGGCGGAUGUUCCAGGUAAAUCCGGAACGUUACUAACGCUGAGGUGUGAUGACGAGGCACUACGGUGCUGAAGUGACAAAUGCCCUGCUUCCAGGAAAAGCCUCUAAGCAUCAGGUAACAUCAAAUCGUACCCCAAACCGACACAGGUGGUCAGGUAGAGAAUACCAAGGCGCUUGAGAGAACUCGGGUGAAGGAACUAGGCAAAAUGGUGCCGUAACUUCGGGAGAAGGCACGCUGAUGGUAGGUGAAGUGACUUGCUCAUGGAGCUGAAAUCAGUCGAAGAUACCAGCUGGCUGCAACUGUUUAUUAAAAACACAGCACUGUGCAAACACGAAAGUGGACGUAUACGGUGUGACGCCUGCCCGGUGCCGGAAGGUUAAUUGAUGGGGUUAUCCUCGCGGAGAAGCUCUUGAUCGAAGCCCCGGUAAACGGCGGCCGUAACUAUAACGGUCCUAAGGUAGCGAAAUUCCUUGUCGGGU